AAUCAACGCUGGCGGCGUGCCUAACACAUGCAAGUCGAACGCGAAAGCCCCUUCGGGGGCAAGUAGAGUGGCGUCCGGGUGAGUAACACGUGGGUAAUCUACCUCUGGGUGGGGAAUAACUCGCCGAAAGGCGGGCUAAUACCGCAUAAUGCAGCGGCACCGAAUGGUGAUUAGUUGUUAAAGCGGGGGACCUUAGGGCCUCGCGUCUGGAGAGGAGCCUGCGGCAGAUUAGCUUGNGGUAGGGUAAUGGCCUACCAAGGCUGCGAUCUGUAGCUGGUCUGAGAGGACGGCCAGCCACACUGGCACUGACACACGGGCCAGACUCCUACGGGAGGCAGCAGUGGGAAUUUUGGGCAAUGGGCGAAAGCCUGACCCAGCAACGCCGCGUGAAGGAGGAAAUCCUUCGGGAUGUAAACUUCACAGCAAGGGAAGAGCGCGCAGGGUCGAAUAAAUUCUGCGUCCGACGGUACCUUGCGUAAGCCACGGCUAACUACGUGCCAGCA
This 503-nucleotide ribosomal RNA is filed under the name uncultured bacterium. Its description in RNAcentral is "bacterial SSU rRNA". It matches the Rfam family "Bacterial small subunit ribosomal RNA", at positions 32 to 513 of the family's 1533-position model. The record is from RNAcentral.